Molecule: ribosomal RNA, 496 nt
Filed under: uncultured bacterium
Lineage: Bacteria
Description: partial 16S ribosomal RNA
Rfam family: Bacterial small subunit ribosomal RNA
Source: RNAcentral
AUGAACGCUGGCGGCGUGCCUAAUACAUGCAAGUCGAGCGAACGGACGAGAAGCUUGCUUCUCUGAUGUUAGCGGCGGACGGGUGAGUAACACGUUGAUAACCUACCUAUAAGACUGGGAUAACUUCGGGAAACCGUAGCUAAUACCGGAUAAUAUUUUGAACCGCAUGGUUCAAAAGUGAAAGACGGUCUUGCUGUCACUUAUAGAUGGAUCCGCGCUGCAUUAGCUAGUUGGUAAGGUAACGGCUUACCAAGGCAACGAUGCAUAGCCGACCUGAGAGGGUGAUCGGCCACACUGGAACUGAGACACGGUCCAGACUCCUACGGGAGGCAGCAGUAGGGAAUCUUCCGCAAUGGGCGAAAGCCUGACGGAGCAACGCCGCGUGAGUGAUGAAGGUCUUCGGAUCGUAAAACUCUGUUAUUAGGGAAGAACAUAUGUGUAAGUAACUGUGCACAUCUUGACGGUACCUAAUCAGAAAGCCACGGCUAACUACGUG